GACGAACGCUGGCGGCGUGCUUAACACAUGCAAGUCGAACGAAGUGGCGAACGGGUGAGUAACGCGUAAUCAACCUGCCCUUCUGAGGGGGACAACAGUUGGAAACGACUGCUAAUACCCCAUACUGAUGGAGGGGACUGUGUCUGAUUAGCUAGUUGGAGGGGUAACGGCCCACCAAGGCGAUGAUCAGUAGCCGGUGUGGGAGGAUGGACGGCCAAAUUGGGACUGGGAAACGGCCCAGACUUCUACGGGGGGCAGCAGGGGGGAAACUUCCGCAAAGGACGAAAGUCUGACGGAGCAACGCCGCGUGAGUGGUGACGGCCUUCGGGUUGUAAAGCUCUGUUAAUCGGGACGCGGUACCGAAAUAGAAAGCCACGGCUAACUACGUGCCAGCAGCCGCGGUAAUUC
RNAcentral lists this ribosomal RNA (408 nucleotides) under uncultured bacterium. RNAcentral's name for it is "partial 16S ribosomal RNA". It matches the Rfam family "Bacterial small subunit ribosomal RNA", at positions 28 to 526 of the family's 1533-position model. The record is from RNAcentral.